This 467-nucleotide ribosomal RNA is filed under the name uncultured bacterium. RNAcentral describes it as "partial 16S ribosomal RNA". It matches the Rfam family "Bacterial small subunit ribosomal RNA", at positions 29 to 507 of the family's 1533-position model. The record is from RNAcentral.
ACGAACGCUGGCGGCGUGCUUAACACAUGCAAGUCGCACGGAAAGGCCCUGCUUUUGUGGGGUGCUCGAGUGGCGAACGGGUGAGUAACACGUGAGUAACCUGCCCUUGACUUUGGGAUAACUUCAGGAAACUGGGGCUAAUACCGGAUAGGAGCUCCUGCUGCAUGGUGGGGGUUGGAAAGUUUCGGCGGUUGGGGAUGGACUCGCGGCUUAUCAGCUUGUUGGUGGGGUAGUGGCUUACCAAGGCUUUGACGGGUAGCCGCCCUGAGAGGGUGACCGGCCACAUUGGGACUGAGAUACGGCCCAGACUCCUACGGGAGGCAGCAGUGGGGAAUAUUGCACAAUGGGCGGAAGCCUGAUGCAGCAACGCCGCGUGCGGGAUGACGGCCUUCGGGUUGUAAACCGCUUUCGCCUGUGACGAAGCGUGAGUGACGGUAAUGGGUAAAGAAGCACCGGCUAACUACGUG